UCGGGUAUGGUGUAACGGCUAACAUUGCCGCCUCUCAUCAAUUACUUAGUAGAAAUUGCUCGCUGCAGCUCGGGGUUCGAUUCCCCGUACCCGAA
Non-coding RNA from Lyophyllum atratum, 95 nucleotides. Lineage: Eukaryota; Fungi; Basidiomycota; Agaricomycetes; Agaricales; Lyophyllaceae. The record is from the annotation of a GenBank genome assembly.